AAUGCUUACGUUCUUUUAUUUCUCACCCCCCCCCCCUUUUUUUUUUCAACCCAAAUUGACCUGGAUCACAAAGUUACAAAGUAGAUUGAAACAAAGAGUCAAAGAAAACAUGUUGGGCUAGAAUAGUUGUUUUGUUUUUUCCUUUUCAAAUAAUUGAUUGUUUGUUAAAAAAAAAAAAUUGAAUAUUUUUUUUAAAGAUUUUUGCCAAUUAUAUCUAGGGACAGUGUUAUAUGUAAGAACUCAGGGUCAUCAUGCUUCUAUGUAUAUUUAAGAUAAUUUUAUUGAUUCAAACAAAUGGAAAUUCAGUUUGAAUGCUAUUAUAUAUACUGUAUAAUUAAUUUUAGACAGGCUAGUGAAGGACUGGAUAUUAACAAAAACUUGUAUUAAAAAACAUAACAUUUUAUUGAAAAUAAAAUUUUUAUUGCUGUUUGCAAUCAUUUGCUGGUUGUUGUUUUUAUUUGAAAGUAUACAUUUCCUGUCCUAAGAAUUGGGCCAAUGGACAGAAAUAAAAGUUGCUUUAGACAUGAUCUUUCAUGGGGACAAGAAAUAAAAAAAGAUACAAGUUUAUGACCACAGCUGCAACUUUUGUGACAAGUUAUGUUUAGUACAAACCACUUAUGCUUCAACAGUACAUUGUUUCCACAAGCAAUUUCUCGACAUCUACAUAAGAUAAAAUCUUGUUUUUCUGCUCACAUGUGUACACAUACCAAGAAUAUUUUUAAUUUCUACACUUUUGUAAUGAUUUUUUUUUUAUUGGUUUUAUGAUUAAAGUUUGUAAAACAACCAUUUCUUUUUAUAAAUACCAUACUAUGUUUCUCAUUUGCAAUACAAUUGUAUAUUACCAUUCUUUGUUUUAUGUUCUGCUGAAAGACGUCAUUUUAUUUUGCUAAAUAUAAAUAAUGUUACAAAAGUCUUUUUGUUUUUUUAGUGUAUUUCUUUUUGGCUUUGUAAUCUUACCUACCAGUAACAUAUUGUAUUUGAUUCUAUCUGUUCUGCUUUGUUUUGGAUUAGUGUUUACCUCUAUUAAAACAGUGUGCCUUUCAACUGAGUUUGUCAUUCCUGUGUAAUGCAGCCUGAAACUGAGAUUAUUGUAUUGCCAGUAGGACAAGUUUUAUAGAAAAAAAAAAACUAGAACUAAUCUAAAAAAAAAGGUGUACGCCACAAUCUACAGAUCAUUUUGAGCAUAAUAAAGAAUAUGGUCUACAUAAAAUCAUCAUUCCUUUCAUAGAUUAUUAUAACCACUUCAUUCUAAAAACAAGACCUUGUGUUUACAAAAUAUGAUAAUAAAUUUCUGAAAUCUGAUAAGUAUUGCAGUGUCAUUCAGACAACUAAUGCUACUUUAACGUACACCAAGAUUUAAUAAGAGUAUUUUUAUUCAGACUGCAAUUAAUUGUGUCAACUAUCCUUUUGAAAUAGUCAAAAUGUAAGUUUAAGCAUCAUGCAUUGCCAACUCUUCGUGUCCAAUGUAGCCAAUUUAUAAUACUGUUUGUCCAAUGUAGCCAAUUUAUAAUACUGUU
Molecule: non-coding RNA, 1517 nt
Organism: Biomphalaria pfeifferi
Lineage: Eukaryota; Metazoa; Mollusca; Gastropoda; Planorbidae
Source: the annotation of a GenBank genome assembly